RNAcentral lists this ribosomal RNA (274 nucleotides) under uncultured Staphylococcus sp. RNAcentral's name for it is "partial 16S ribosomal RNA". It matches the Rfam family "Bacterial small subunit ribosomal RNA", at positions 89 to 355 of the family's 1533-position model. The record is from RNAcentral. Lineage: Bacteria; Bacillati; Bacillota; Bacilli; Caryophanales; Staphylococcaceae.
ACGUUAGCGGCGGACGGGUGAGUAACACGUGGGUAACCUACCUAUAAGACUGGGAUAACUUCGGGAAACCGGAGCUAAUACCGGAUAAUAUUUCGAACCGCAUGGUUCGAUAGUGAAAGAUGGUUUUGCUAUCACUUAUAGAUGGACCCGCGCCGUAUUAGCUAGUUGGUAAGGUAACGGCUUACCAAGGCGACGAUACGUAGCCGACCUGAGAGGGUGAUCGGCCACACUGGAAACUGAGACACGGUCCAGACUCCUACGGGAGGCAGCAGCA